This 253-nucleotide ribosomal RNA is filed under the name uncultured bacterium. RNAcentral describes it as "partial 16S ribosomal RNA". It matches the Rfam family "Bacterial small subunit ribosomal RNA", at positions 524 to 776 of the family's 1533-position model. The record is from RNAcentral.
UACAGGGGGUGCAAACGUUGCUCGGAAUCAUUGGGCGUAAAGCGCACGUAGGCGGUUCGUUAUGUCGGAUGUGAAAGCCCUUGGCUUAACCGAGGAAGUGCAUCCGAAACUGGCGAGCUAGAGUACUAAAGAGGAUCGCGGAAUUCCCGGUGUAGAGGUGAAAUUCGUAGAGAUCGGGAGGAACACCAGAGGCGAAGGCGGCUCACUGGACAGUGACUGACACUCAACUGCGAAAGCGUGGGGAGCAAACAGG